Molecule: RNA transcript, 3049 nt
Organism: Mus musculus (house mouse)
Lineage: Eukaryota; Metazoa; Chordata; Mammalia; Rodentia; Muridae
Gene: Ntaq1
Gene name: N-terminal glutamine amidase 1
Exons: 6
Source: RefSeq, marked validated
CCGCCCUCACGCUGCACGGGGCCCCGCCCACCCGGCUCUCGGCUCUCCCACCCGGAAACUGUCCUGGCCGCCUACUCUGUUGUCCUCUCCUCCUGGGAGACUGGCGACAAUUGCGGCCAGCGGGUUGUUUAGUUGACCUGUGAGCCACAGCUUCGGGUCAUGGAGGGGGACGGCCCCGCCGCCACGGCCCCGCAGUACCAGCCGGUCUGUCCUACGCGGGACGCAUGUGUCUACAACAGCUGCUAUUGUGAGGAAAACAUUUGGAAGCUCUGUGAGUACAUCAAGACACACAACCAGUAUCUGUUGGAGGAGUGCUAUGCAGUCUUCAUAUCAAAUGAGAAGAAGAUGGUAAGUUGGUACCUAUUUGGAAACAGCAGGCAAGACCUGAGAAUGGACCUGUGAUCUGGCCUGUUGUCAUGUGAGGGACAGUUGCCUCCUGUUCUUGUUGCUGUGGACAGUCACUCCCGGCAUUAUGCCUUUCCCAUAGGGUUGGUUUGCUGUAGUCUCUGAAACCAUGAGCCAAAAUAAACAGUUCCCCAUUUAGGUUGUUUGUGUCAGGUAUUACAUAAUAGCCUGGCUGCUUUUUUGACUUAUCUGGAGACUGAUUAAAAGUAUAAGUUGCCUUGUUAGUUUAUCUAGAGAAGGCUUCAAGAUUUAGUGUGAGUUCUUGCGUGUUCUCUCUCUCUCUCUCACACACACACACACACACCAGGCUUAGUAUUUUUUUCUGAAUAUUUAUUUUAUGAUUUGUCUACUGCGUGUGCGUGCCUGAGUAGCAGGUGCACACAGAGGGGAAAACACAAUCUUGUAGUGUUGCUUCUCACCUGCCUUGUGGAGGCAGAGUUUCUUUUGUUUCUAUUGCCCUACUGUGGACUCUAGGCUCGCCAGCCUGUGAGCUUACAGACCCGUCAGCACCUUCCACCUCGGAGUGCCGGCAUUGCCAUGCACUGCCAUACAAUGAGAGUAAGAGGUAGUGGCGUCCAUUCUGUCACCAGGCAGGGCUAUGAGAGCUGACUUCCUCCUCCCUUGAGAUGAGGUCCUUCUCAGGCAGAUGAGAGCUUGUCUGCUUGGUUUGGUUUCCUUUUUUCUUUUUUUUGGUUUAAUUUUUUUUCUUAGAAGAGUAAUACAAAUUGGAAAGUUGCAUCCUCCUUCACCCCAACCCUGGAAGCCCCAGAUGAAUCGCAGCACAGGAAAGGUUUAUUUUGUGCUCAUUUCUGGUUUCAGUUUAUGACUGCUUGGCUCUGCAUCUGUGACUAUAGUGCGGCAGCUACACGUGGUGGGGCAGAGCUGUUUAUAGCCAAAGAGAGAGAGAAGGGGAAAGGACUGGGCUCCCAAUAUCUCCUUCAGUGAUUCUCCUCCAGUGACCAGCAGACUUCUCACUAGGCUUCACUGUGUUUUUGUUGUUAAGGUCUCAGUAUGUAGUUCUGGCUGGCCUGGAACUCUGUCUGUGUAUCAGGCUGGCCUUGGACUCACAGGGACCCACCUGCCUCUCCCUGUGAGUGUUGGAGUGUGUGUCACCUCAUCCAUCCUGGCCUCACCUCUUGAAGCCUCCACAGUCUGUCUCAUCUCACCCUGAUAAGUAAACCUUCAACCAAAGGGUUUCUUUGGGGGGACAGUGAAGAUCCAGCGUGUGGAAGACAUCUCUGUAGCCGCCGCCUCAGCAUUCAUAUGUGUGAAUGAGCGUAUGCUUUUGAAUGCACGCGUCCGUCUUUAGAUGAUCAUACUUUAAAAUAUAAUACAAAAUACAUCUAUGUCCUACAAUUGGUUUUCCUGUUCAGCUGUAGAACAUGGGAUAUCACGGAACAGUGUGUCACACACUGCGGUUGUUGAACCAUUUCCCGGUCACUGGCCGUUUUUCAGUAUUGGGGCUUUGCGUUUUAUUAUCGUCUAGCUUUGGUAUUCCGAGGAGGGUGACGUUAGCCUGGCCGCUGCUUUCCUGCUGAUGCUUGUGCGCUGACCCUGCAAUGCUGGGACGGACCAUCCUCCACUAACUGGGUUAACCUCAGUGAUUAUUAUUCCUAGGACUACCAUGUGGUUCUGCUUCAUGUGUCAAGGGAAGGACAAAGCUUCAUUUAUGAUCUUGACACUAUUUUGCCAUUUCCCUGCCCUUUCGACAUUUACAUAGAAGAUGCCCUUAAGUCUGAUGAUGACAUUCAUCUGCAGUUUAGGAGGAAAUUUAGAGUGGUUCGUGCUGACUCCUACUUGAAGCACUUCGCUUCUGACCGGUCUCACAUGAAAGACUCCAGUGGGAACUGGAGAGAGCCUCCCCCAGAGUACCCCUGCAUUGAAACUGGAGACUCCAAAAUGAACCUGAACGACUUCAUCAGCAUGGACCCUGCAGUAGGAUGGGGAGCUGUCUACACGCUGCCUGAGUUUGUGCAUCGGUUCAGCAGCAAAACCUACCAAGCCUGACAUCCGGGCUGCAGCUAGAGAAGCUCUAGGGUCUGAGUAAGCCAUCCUUCCAUUUAAGAGAGAGCGUGGUACAGGUGGCCUAUAGGGAUAUUGUUCUCACUAAAUGUGAGUGGAAACAUUAGUGAACACAGAUGAAAAUGAAUGACUAAGUCCCCCACCCCCUUUUUUUAGGCUGGGGAUCUAUCCCAGAGUUCUAUCUCCAACCCUAAACAGUCAGACCCCAGCCUCAGACAUAGAUAUGCCACAUUCGGUAUAUGGUUGCUAAAAUGUUUCCAUGGCUUGCUUACUUCGGUGUGUGAUGACGUAGGCCAGCAAUUGCUUUUGUAAAACUAGAGGUGUGGACCUGGAGUCGGCUCCUUUUGUCUGCUUCCUCUGCUUCCUGUCUGGCUAGACUCUAAACUCCUUGAGCACAGGUUUGUGGCCUGUGGCUCUAAGACUCUGUUGCCCAUUAGAGGUCCCGGUAAAAUGUUUCUAGAGUCAGCACUGCUGCUUGGUAAGGGACAGUAUUGUGAGCUGAAUCAGCUGUAAGUAUUAGUCUUUUUGGACUACGAUGUUUAAAAAAGUUGCAGAUAUCUUGUCUGAGUGCUAUUUGACCCACUUAUAUAUGUAGUUUUAAAUAAAAUUGACUUAAAAUUAA